CGCUGGCGGCCUGCCUAACACAUGCAAGUCGAGGGGCAGCGAGAUCAGUGCUUGCACUGAUUGUCGGCGACCGGCGCACGGGUGCGUAACCGCGUAUGCAACCUACCCAUUACAGGGGGAUAACACUGAGAAAUCGGUACUAAUACCCCAUAACAUCCAGGGAGGCAUCUUCUUGGGUUGAAAACUCCGGUGGUAAUGGAUGGGCAUGCGUUGUAUUAGUUAGUCGGUGGGGUAACGGCUCACCAAGACAACGAUACAUAGGGGGACUGAGAGGUUAACCCCCCACAUUGGUACUGAGACACGGACCAAACUCCUACGGGAGGCAGCAGUGAGGAAUAUUGGUCAAUGGACGCAAGUCUGAACCAGCCAUGCCGCGUGCAGGAAGACGGCUCUAUGAGUUGUAAACUGCUUUUGUACGAGGGUAAACGCAGAUACGCGUAUCUGUCUGAAAGUAUCGUACGAAUAAGGAUCGGCUAACUCCGUGCCAGCAGCCGCGGUAAUACGGAGGAUUCAAGCAUUAUCCGGAUUUAUUGGGUUUAAAGGGUGCGUAGGUGGUCGGAUAAGUUAGAGGUGAAAUCCCGGGGCUCAACUUCGGAAUUGCCUCUGAUACUGUUCGGCUAGAGAGUAGUUGCGGUAGGCGGAAUGUAUGGUGUAGCGGUGAAAUGCUUAGAGAUCAUACAGAACACCGAUUGCGAAGGCAGCUUACCAAGCUACUUCUGACGUUGAGGCACGAAAGCGUGGGGAGCGAACAGGAUUAGAUACCCUGGUAGUCCACGCAGUAAACGAUGAUAACUCGUUGUCGGCGAUACAGUGUCGGUGACUAAGCGAAAGCGAUAAGUUAUCCACCUGGGGAGUACGUUCGCAAGAAUGAAACUCAAAGGAAUUGACGGGGGCCCGCACAAGCGGAGGAACAUGUGGUUUAAUUCGAUGAUACGCGAGGAACCUUACCCGGGCUUGAAAGUUAGUGACGGAUCUUGAAAGAGGUCUUCCCUUCGGGGCACGAAACUAGGUGCUGCAUGGUUGUCGUCAGCUCGUGCCGUGAGGUGUCGGGUUAAGUCCCAUAACGAGCGCAACCCCUACCGUUAGUUGCCAGCAGGUCAAGCUGGGCACUCUGACGGGACUGCCGGUGUAAGCCGAGAGGAAGGUGGGGAUGACGUCAAAUCAGCACGGCCCUUACGUCCGGGGCUACACACGUGUUACAAUGGCAGGUACAGAGGGCAGCUACCCAGCGAUGGGAUGCGAAUCUCGAAAGCCUGUCUCAGUUCGGAUUGGAGGCUGAAACCCGCCUCCAUGAAGUUGGAUUCGCUAGUAAUCGUGCAUCAGCCAUGGCGCGGUGAAUACGUUCCCGGGCCUUGCACACACCGCCCGUCA
This 1371-nucleotide ribosomal RNA is filed under the name uncultured bacterium. RNAcentral describes it as "16S ribosomal RNA". It matches the Rfam family "Bacterial small subunit ribosomal RNA", at positions 34 to 1399 of the family's 1533-position model. The record is from RNAcentral.